This is a long non-coding RNA of Ochotona princeps (American pika), 435 nucleotides long. RefSeq lists it as uncharacterized. Lineage: Eukaryota; Metazoa; Chordata; Mammalia; Lagomorpha; Ochotonidae. The record is from RefSeq and is a predicted model, not a curated record. The transcript has 3 exons.
CUCGCCCCACCUCUUCCUCCUCCUCCCAGCCCCCGGCUCCAGAAACCCCUGGGCGUGUUGAGUACUUCACAGGAACAAACCAGAAAGGAAAACCUGAGAGGAAACAAGCCACCAGCUGUCAGAGUCACAAUUCAGAAGGGGACUCCAAGUGACAGAGGAGUGAGCCACUCCGCUGGCAGGACAUUCCUGGGCCUGAACACAUCUAAAGGGACCCGACACUGGAUUCUGAGUGGGCACAGGCACAUGCACUUCUUGUCACAUUGAUGACCCUUCAACGAGGACAGUGGAGAGCAGAGAAGCGAUGCACCUGCAAGUGGACACCUUUCCAUUGGUGGAAGUCAGCAGCAGAGUUGGAAAUGGGGCAUGCCGCUGUGAACUCUGAAGCACACCAUCCCCUCCAGUCUCCCCCAGCAGCCACUUGAUCCUGAGACCCCU